GAUGAACGCUGGCGGCGUGCUUAACACAUGCAAGUCGAACGGUGAAGCAGGAGCUUGCUCUUGUAGAUCAGUGGCGAACGGGUGAGUAACACGUGAGCAACCUGCCCCUGACUCUGGGAUAAGCGCUGGAAACGGCGUCUAAUACUGGAUAUGUGAUGUGACCGCAUGGUCUACAUCUGGAAAGAAUUUCGGUUGGGGAUGGGCUCGCGGCCUAUCAGCUUGUUGGUGAGGUAAUGGCUCACCAAGGCGUCGACGGGUAGCCGGCCUGAGAGGGUGACCGGCCACACUGGGACUGAGACACGGCCCAGACUCCUACGGGAGGCAGCAGUGGGGAAUAUUGCACAAUGGGCGGAAGCCUGAUGCAGCAACGCCGCGUGAGGGAUGACGGCCUUCGGGUUGUAAACCUCUUUUAGCAGGGAAGAAGCGAAAGCGACGGUACCUGCAGAAAAAGCACCGGCUAACUACGUGCCAGCAGCCGCCGUAA
RNAcentral lists this ribosomal RNA (484 nucleotides) under uncultured bacterium. Its description in RNAcentral is "partial 16S ribosomal RNA". It matches the Rfam family "Bacterial small subunit ribosomal RNA", at positions 28 to 523 of the family's 1533-position model. The record is from RNAcentral.